CCUACGGGUGGCAGCAGUGAGGAAUAUUGGUCAAUGGACGAGAGCCUGAACCAGCCAUGUAGCGUGAAGGAUGACUGCCCUAUGGGUUGUAAACUUCUUUUAUAUGGGAAUAAAAUGUUCCACGUGUGGGAUUUUGUAUGUACAAUAUGAAUAAGGAUCGGCUAACUCCGUGCCAGCAGGCGCGGUAAUACGGAGGAUCCGAGCGUUAUCCGGAUUUAUUGGGGUUAAAGGGAGCGUAGGUGGAUUGUUAAGUCAGUUGUGAAAGGUUGCGGCUCAACCGUAAAAUUGCAGUGGAAACUGGCAGUCUUGAGUACAGUAGAGGUGGGCGGAAUGCGUGGUGUAGCGGUGAAAUGCUUAGAUAACACGAAGAACUCCGAUUGCGAAGGCAGCUCACUGGACUUCAACUGACGCUGAGGCUCGAAAGUGUGGGUAUCAAACAGGAUUAGAUACCCCUGUAGUC
RNAcentral lists this ribosomal RNA (460 nucleotides) under uncultured bacterium. Its description in RNAcentral is "partial 16S ribosomal RNA". It matches the Rfam family "Bacterial small subunit ribosomal RNA", at positions 338 to 795 of the family's 1533-position model. The record is from RNAcentral.